GCCGCCUUAGCUCAGUUGGUAGAGCUCCAGCUUUGUAAUCUGGAGGUCGCCGGUUCGAUUCCGGCAGGCGGCUCCA
This 76-nucleotide transfer RNA is filed under the name Geothrix sp. RNAcentral describes it as "tRNA-Thr". It matches the Rfam family "tRNA". From Rfam's summary of the family: Transfer RNA (tRNA) molecules are approximately 80 nucleotides in length. Their secondary structure includes four short double-helical elements and three loops (D, anti-codon, and T loops). Further hydrogen bonds mediate the characteristic L-shaped molecular structure. tRNAs have two regions of fundamental functional importance: the anti-codon, which is responsible for specific mRNA codon recognition, and the 3' end, to which the tRNAs corresponding amino acid is attached (by aminoacyl-tRNA synthetases). tRNAs cope with the degeneracy of the genetic code in two manners: having more than one tRNA (with a specific anti-codon) for a particular amino acid; and 'wobble' base-pairing, i.e. permitting non-standard base-pairing at the 3rd anti-codon position. The record is from RNAcentral. Lineage: Bacteria; Pseudomonadati; Acidobacteriota; Holophagae; Holophagales; Holophagaceae. RNAcentral also lists the same sequence under 2 other names.